AUAAUGAACAAAUUCAAGAUUUGAGUUACCAACUCGAUACUUUUAUCAUUCAUAUAUGAGGUGGAAAUCCCAAAUUCUCCAACUUACAAGGAUUUCAUGAUUUGGAAAAUGUUAUUUACUUAUGAAGUUAACUCUGAUUUUACCUAUUGCUACGACAACUAUAUAGUGUGGAGAGAGCAUUCUCAUUCAUGAAGUUAACUCUGAUUUUACCUAUUGCUACGACAACUAUAUAGUGUGGAGAGAGCAUUCUCAUUCAUGAAGUUAACUCUGAUUUUACCUAUUGCUACGACAACUAUAUAGUGUGGAGAGAGCAUUCUCAUUC
This 322-nucleotide unclassified non-coding RNA is filed under the name Hevea brasiliensis (rubber tree). Lineage: Eukaryota; Viridiplantae; Streptophyta; Magnoliopsida; Malpighiales; Euphorbiaceae. The record is from RNAcentral.